AAGUCGUAACAAGGUAACCGUAGGUGAACCUGCGGUUGGAUCAUUAACAAAAGUGUCGAGGUUUUGCCUUGACUAUAGGGAAGAGGCCGAAAGGCUUCCGACCGCUAACCUUUUGUGAACAGUUUAUUGUCUCUGGCAGGAUUAGUAGUUUACUACUUGCCUGCCAGUAUAAACCUUGAGUAUUAUCUAGUCUUAACUACUUGAAAAAGUAAACAACUUUUGACAAUGGAUCUCUUGGCUCUU
RNAcentral lists this unclassified non-coding RNA (243 nucleotides) under fungal sp. RNAcentral describes it as "partial internal transcribed spacer region". The stretch from base 1 to 46 matches the Rfam family "Eukaryotic small subunit ribosomal RNA", at positions 1786 to 1831 of the family's 1831-position model. Lineage: Eukaryota; Fungi. The record is from RNAcentral.